This 74-nucleotide transfer RNA is filed under the name Actinomycetes bacterium. RNAcentral describes it as "Actinobacteria bacterium tRNA-Thr". It matches the Rfam family "tRNA". Rfam says of the family: Transfer RNA (tRNA) molecules are approximately 80 nucleotides in length. Their secondary structure includes four short double-helical elements and three loops (D, anti-codon, and T loops). The record is from RNAcentral. Lineage: Bacteria; Bacillati; Actinomycetota; Actinomycetes. RNAcentral also lists the same sequence under 4 other names.
GCCGACGUAGCUCAGUUGGCCAGAGCACCGCUCUCGUAAAGCGGGGGUCGAGGGUUCGAAUCCCUCCGUCGGCU